UCCUUGCCCAAUCCCCUCAUCCCACACCAGCUGAACCCUAGCCCCUUUUCCCCGAUCCCCACAGCAGCCGCCUCCUCUCCUUUCCCCUACGCCGACGGCCUUGCCUCUUCGCUCACCUCCUCUUCUCCUCUUCCAUGCCGCCAUGGUUCCAGAUUGGGCGCAGGUCGCCGUCGUGCGAGAGCAGGGCAGCGGGGUUUUCGCGGAGGAGUGGAGGGGGAGGAUGCGGACGACAGGGCGAAGGAGGUGGCUGGCGAGGAGGACAAGAAGCAGGGGGGAGGAGAAGGGGGAUGCCUCGCACACCAUCCUCCUCCCCGCGGCGGUUGGCUGGUCGACUCGUCGCGCCACCGCGUCCUCACCUCCUCUGCACCAUAGGAGGCGCUGCCUCUGCCUCCAUCCCUGCUUCGUGCUUCCUCCGUCCUUGGCACCACAGCUGCCGGUCCACUCCCUCCUCCUCCAUCCUCACUCCCUUGUCAGCCACCGUCGCACGAACCUCCCUCGUCUGGGCCGGGAAAGAAGGCCAUGGCGAAUCUUGCGCCUCUAGAAGCAGCAGCAGGGGUUGGUGGAGCGUCUAAUACGGGCGGGGUCAACGGUUGAGGGAGGGUUGCCCACCGGAGCAGCAGGAGAAAGACCUUGAGUGAAGCUGCAUCGUCCAACGUAGCGAGAUGAAGUACUCAGAAAAAAUUGCAGCAAGUGCGAUUGAUAGUAAGGGAAUUGAUUUGAUUCGGAAUCUUCCCUUCUUCAGUGUCAACGAACAGCGUGAGAUGAGAUAGCUGCAAAGGUGGGGCCAAAUAAUCCUAUGGUAGCAGCAAUAGUCAGCCCAUGAUAAAUCUCUGGUAAGUGCUCCUUUCUCUUUACCUCUUUACUCCCAUGUCACAGGUCUGACGACACACCAGAAAUUGCCAUGUAGUUGCAUGGCUGUCAAAGAGUCUAAGCAUGUGAAAGUUGGGUUACCUCUAUAUUUGUAAGAAUUGGAACUUGGUACGGUUUUGCAAAAUAAGAUGGUAGCUCACAUUUUCUGGAUGACCCAAUGCUUCUUUGGUGAAAUUUGAUCAGCCUUACAUAUACAUUUGAAAUAUUAUGCUGUAUACAGUUCAUCAGGCACUGGAAUUUGCCGGACAUUAAUGUUUCUGUUUUUUAUCUGUUUCUUAUUUUCCGAGUCACAUCUCUGCAAUGUUUCCAAUGAGGCAAGGACUACUAUUUUCCUCCUUGCAUGCCAAUUAUUUGAGAGACAAAUAAAUAUUGUUGUUGGCCUAUGAAUUAUCACAUUAUUCCCCUGAUUCUUUUUAGAUCAUUUUGUUUUAGAGUUUUUGUUUCUUGAAACCUCAAAAUAGUUACUAGCAUCUUCUCCAUGUUGCAUCAUUUUAUAGUGACAAUCAGGAGAUAUAGCUGAUCCUUCAUUUAUCUUGGAACCUUAUCCAAACAUUUGAAAAUGAAACUAAAGCUAUGUACAGAGAGAAUGUGUAGGCUCUCUUCCUGGGCAUGAACUCCGGUAUGCCUAUUACGAGUGAGACCACUUCACUUUGCUUCCAAUAUAGUAGAUGGCGGAAGUGGUGCUCUUAUAUACAACCGCUAGAGAAGUAUAUGUAGCAUUUCCUCUGUAGAAAGGAAUGCUAUUUUAGCUGGUUGUGAGGUUUGAACCUUUCAUUUCCGAAGAGAACCGAUGAUCUUCCUUCGCAAGUUUAUUUUUACCUAUGUAUUAUUGUCAUGCUCCCAUUGUUUGGGUGAUUUACCUAGGCUAUGCACACACAUAUAAUAUUGCCAUGUUCCCCUUAUUCAUCACCGAACAUUGCUGCCAAAUUGAUGUUUUUGUUGCUCUAUACAUUGGUGUUAUAGACUGCCAUUUGUUUAGUCGAACAAUUUGCCAAACUGAUUUUCCAUUACUCCAUGUACUGGUGUUACAGACUGCUAUUUGUUUUGUCCAUCUUAGUAAUUCAUUUGGUUUACAUUCUCAUGAUAUAGAUAUACACGUGCCCCUUUCCUAUUUUAGCUAUCAUUUGCCAACCUCCAUUAUAUGACUAUGCACAUGUGUUCCUAUAUACAAAUGUGAUUAAACGACAUGUUACCUCAAUGCCAUUUGUGAAGAACAAAUAUGUGGCUCAGGAGGGCCUGGUUGACGUAUGCGGUCAUCAGGAGUGGCCACAUUGUUUGGUCCUCAACAAUUUUGAAUGAAGACUCGUGGACUUUACCAUUGCGAAAUCAUGUGAGCAGAGGUGUUCCAGGAUUCUUUGGAAAGACAUGUAUACAUGCCAUGUGUCCCGCUAUCAUUUUUUGUCUUUGUGAGUUGUUGAAAAGAUCUUAAGAUGUUUGAUUGGUCAUUUCAACUCAGGUGAAGUUGUUAGGAUGAUUAGGUAGAAGCUUAUGCCAUCUCAAAAAAAAAAAGGUAGAAGCUUAUGCAAAAUCUAC
Long non-coding RNA from Triticum dicoccoides, 2403 nucleotides. RefSeq lists it as uncharacterized. The transcript is spliced from 3 exons. NCBI's taxonomy places the organism in Eukaryota, Viridiplantae, Streptophyta, Magnoliopsida, Poales, Poaceae. The record is from RefSeq and is a predicted model, not a curated record.